RNAcentral lists this ribosomal RNA (319 nucleotides) under uncultured eukaryote. RNAcentral's name for it is "partial 18S ribosomal RNA". It matches the Rfam family "Eukaryotic small subunit ribosomal RNA", at positions 1470 to 1796 of the family's 1831-position model. The record is from RNAcentral.
CCCUUAGAUGUUCUGGGCUGCACGCGUGCUACAAUGGCGUUUCCAGCAAGUCUGCGAACCCGAGAGGGCCAGCGGAUCUUCGAAUUGGCGUCGUGAUCGGGACAGUCGAUUGCAAUUAUUUGACUCAAACGAGGAAUUCCUUGUAAUCGCGAUUCAUCAUAUCGCGCUGAAUACGUCCCUGCCCUUUGUACACACCGCCCGUCGCUCCUACCGAUUGAGCGGUCCGGUAAAUGUUUUGGAUUGGUGCCGGGGCGGCUAGCUGCCGGUCGCUACGAAAUUUUGUGAACCUUAUCGCUUAGAGGAAGGAAAAGUCGUAACA